RNAcentral lists this ribosomal RNA (253 nucleotides) under uncultured bacterium. Its description in RNAcentral is "partial 16S ribosomal RNA". It matches the Rfam family "Bacterial small subunit ribosomal RNA", at positions 524 to 776 of the family's 1533-position model. The record is from RNAcentral.
UACAGAGGGUGCAAGCGUUGUUCGGAAUUAUUGGGCGUAAAGGGAGUGUAGGCGGCACGGAAAGUCUUCUGUGAAAUCUGCGGGCUUAGCCUGCAAAGUGCAGAGGAAACUUCCGAGCUUGAGUGUCGGAGAGGGCAGUGGAAUUCCCGGUGUAGAGGUGAAAUUCGUAGAGAUCGGGAGGAACACCAGUGGCGAAGGCGACUGCCUGGCUGACAACUGACGCUGAGACUCGAAAGCAUGGGGAGCAAACAGG